GUUUACAGUGAUCGAACAACAACGAGCAGCAGCAGCGCAGCAGGCUGUCCCGGCGGUCUCAGCGGCUGCAGCGGGGCGGCAACGAUUCCGACAGCGGCGCGGAGGAGAGGCAAAGGCGGACAACAACUGAUCCUUGACCGUGGCGGCGGUGAUCGAUUAAAGGCGGUGUAUCGGUGGCCGAAAGAGAAGGCGGUGCGGCGAACUCACCUCCGUGACUACCACGGCAGAGGUACUGCAAAUUUCAGUGAAAGGAAGAUGAGCGCAACGGAGUCCAACGUCGAGAGUUUGAGAGAAAGAGAGAAAGAAAAGAGGAAGAGGAAUGGAGGCACCGUCAAUUUCCCUCAAGUAGGAUUCUGUUUGGAAAAAAGGAUGAAAGGAAAGGGACGAUGGAGUAUUUUAUGAGGGAAUUAAAGUUUGGGCCGGAGUACAUUAAAUCAAUGGAUGAUUUCACGCACGCUUUUCAAGAACGAAAUGGAGCACAAGUUAAGGCUUUAAACGAAUGAGGUUGAGCGGUGACGAGCGCGGUGGGUGUUGAGCAUAAAAGUGAAGAAUGUCU
Salvia splendens (bonfire salvia) is the source of this 556-nucleotide long non-coding RNA. RefSeq lists it as uncharacterized. Lineage: Eukaryota; Viridiplantae; Streptophyta; Magnoliopsida; Lamiales; Lamiaceae. The transcript is spliced from 3 exons. The record is from RefSeq and is a predicted model, not a curated record.